AUACGUAGGGGGCGAGCGUUGUCCGGAAUGAUUGGGCGUAAAGGGCGCGUAGGCGGCCCGGUAAGUCUGGAGUGAAAGUCCUGUUUUUAAGAUGGGAAUUGCUUUGGAUACUGUCGGGCUUGAGUGCAGGAGAGGUAAGUGGAAUUCCCAGUGUAGCGGUGAAAUGCGUAGAGAUUGGGAGGAACACCAGUGGCGAAGGCGACUUACUGGACUGUAACUGACGCUGAGGCGCGAAAGUGUGGGGAGCAAACAGGAUUAGAUACCCUGGUAGUCCACACUGUAAACGAUGAAUGCUAGGUGUAGGGGGUAUCGACCCCUUCUGUGCCGCAGUCAACACAAUAAGUAGUCCACCUGGGGAGUACGGCCGCAAGGUUGAAACUCAAAGGAAUUGACGGGG
Molecule: ribosomal RNA, 397 nt
Filed under: uncultured bacterium
Lineage: Bacteria
Description: partial 16S ribosomal RNA
Rfam family: Bacterial small subunit ribosomal RNA
Source: RNAcentral